GCCAGAGAGAUCUGGCUUUCCCUUCGGGGACUAGGACACAGGUGCUGCAUGGCUGUCGUCAGCUCGUGUUGUGAAAUGUUGGGUUAAGUCCCGCAACGGGCGCAACCCUUAUCCUUUGUUGCCAGCGGUUCGGCCGGGAACUCAAAGGAGACUGCCAGUGAUAAACUGGAGGAAGGUGGGGAUGACGUCAAGUCAUCAUGGCCCUUACGAGUAGGGCUACACACGUGCUACAAUGGCAUAUACAAAGAGAAGCGACCUCGCGAGAGCAAGCGGACCUCAUAAAGUAUGUCGUAGUCCGGAUUGGAGUCUGCAACUCGACUCCAUGAAGUCGGAAUCGCUAGUAAUCGUAGAUCAGAAUGCUACGGUGAAUACGUUCCCGGGCCUUGUACACACCGCCCGUCACGCCAUGGGAGUGGGUUGCAAAAGAAGUAGGUAGCUUAACCUUCGGGAGGGCGCUUACCACUUUGUGAUUCAUGACUGGGGUGAAGUCGUAACAAGGUAACCGUAGGGGAACCUGCGGCUGGAUCACCUCCUUA
Molecule: ribosomal RNA, 536 nt
Filed under: uncultured bacterium
Lineage: Bacteria
Description: bacterial SSU rRNA
Rfam family: Bacterial small subunit ribosomal RNA
Source: RNAcentral